Canis lupus familiaris (dog) is the source of this 1402-nucleotide long non-coding RNA. RefSeq lists it as uncharacterized. The record is from RefSeq and is a predicted model, not a curated record. Lineage: Eukaryota; Metazoa; Chordata; Mammalia; Carnivora; Canidae. The transcript has 3 exons.
GUUACCUUGCUUCCUUGCCUGAGUACUACCUAAUGGUCCCCAAGCUGUCCAAAGCCCUCUGCUCCCUGCAUUACAGGACCCAACAGUGGAAUCAGGUCCUUAUUCUGCCUUUUACCUUCCUUUUACAUCAACACCUAGCCCUUUACCUCCUCUACUUUUUUUGAGACAGUCCUUGUUCCACAUCCCUUUAAAUAGGCUCUUUCUCUCUACCUCCUAUGGUAUAUCCAGGCAAAAUAAUACAAGGUAGUGGAUCCCAAAGGGUUGCUAGGCCACUUCAUCAUUAUACACCUGCACCAUUCAGCAGGAACUCUGGGUACAGGACAACCUAGAGCUGGGACACUAACCAUGUGUGUUUCAGUCUCUGUAACAGUCACUAGAAAGCCAUUAAGGCAGUAUUUAGGCAUAAAUUAGGCAGCAUUUAGGCAGCAUAAAGUCCUCUGUGGUAAAAGUGGAUUUUGGUUCCUCUGAAGCUGGGCUAGAUCAGCAUUGUGCUUUUAAGCUUCUUGACCUGAAUGAGAUUUGCUAUUCCUUUGGGAAAAAUAGGGAGGUUUUGCCACAAAUAGAUGGGACCAUAAAAUCCAGGUGCUUUAAAAACAAAUCAGUCUAUUAGAACUUAAAUUUCGAAGUAAAAAUGAAUCGCUUCUAAGUCGUUAUUGUGUGAGUUUAUACAUUUACUCAUAUGAAACUUAAAGCAAGUCUAGAUACUUUUCAGACCUUGUUUGGAAUAUAAUAAGUGGUGGCCCCUCAUGCCAUGGAAGGAUGAGCUCAAUCUUUCAAGAAAACCAGAAGUCAGUUACUGAUUCAUUUGAUGAAUAAGGUGAAUUAUCAAGUUUCCUGCCAAACCCAGUUGGAAUGCAGCUGAUGGCCCAGCCUGCAGGGCUGAGCAUGGAAGGAAGGAAGUAUUCUCGGGCCAGCGGGCUCAUGGUCCACUCAGAGGCAGAAAGCGUAGAAGAGAUGUCCAAGACAUCCCAGCCAGAUGAAGACUGCCUAGGCUUGGACAAAAGGAGCUUCUCCCACUCCCAGCUCAAAGCAUUCCUGACAAACAAUGUGCAAAAUGAGAAACACACAUGGCCAACGGGAGAUGAAAAAAAAUUCAGCUUCAGGAAUAAUAAAAGAAGUGAAAUUUAGGGAUUUUUGAAGUGAUGAUCACAUUCUGUGCAUGUGGGGAUCCUGGGAGAUAAGUGUUCUCUUUCACUCCUGGUGGUGUUAUGUAUCAGCAAAGACUUUCUCAAAAGAUGUGUAUGAAUUUAUGAAGAUCCCUCAAACAGUUACUACUCUUUGACCAAGUAAUUUAACCCUUGGGAAUCUUUCCAAGAACAGAGUAACAGGAACACAGAUGUACAUGUACUGUUGAUCCAAACUUCGUAAGAAAGAAAGAAAAUGUAUCUUCAUAGACAUAGAC